This 301-nucleotide ribosomal RNA is filed under the name uncultured bacterium. Its description in RNAcentral is "partial 16S ribosomal RNA". It matches the Rfam family "Bacterial small subunit ribosomal RNA", at positions 509 to 807 of the family's 1533-position model. The record is from RNAcentral.
CAGUCGCCGCGGUAAUACGUAGGGUGCAAGCGUUAAUCGGAAUUACUGGGCGUAAAGCGUGCGCAGGCGGUUCGCUAAGACAGAUGUGAAAUCCCCGGGCUUAACCUGGGAACUGCAUUUGUGACUGGCGGGCUAGAGUAUGGCAGAGGGGGGUAGAAUUCCACGUGUAGCAGUGAAAUGCGUAGAGAUGUGGAGGAAUACCAAUGGCGAAGGCAGCCCCCUGGGCCAAUACUGACGCUCAUGCACGAAAGCGUGGGGAGCAAACAGGAUUAGAUACCCCUGUAGUCCCUGUCUCUUAUAC